This 596-nucleotide ribosomal RNA is filed under the name uncultured bacterium. Its description in RNAcentral is "bacterial SSU rRNA". It matches the Rfam family "Bacterial small subunit ribosomal RNA", at positions 338 to 961 of the family's 1533-position model. The record is from RNAcentral.
CCUACGGGAGGCAGCAGUGGGGAAUCUUGCGCAAUGGGCGAAAGCCUGACGCAGCAACGCCGCGUGCGGGAUGAAGGCCUUCGGGUUGUAAACCGCUUUCAGCAGGGAAGAAAUUGACGGUACCUGCAGAAGAAGCCCCGGCCAACUACGUGCCAGCAGCCGCGGUAACACGUAGGGGGCGAGCGUUGUCCGGAUUUAUUGGGCGUAAAGAGCUCGUAGGCGGUUCGGUAAGUCGGGUGUGAAACCUCCAGGCUCAACCUGGAGACGCCACCUGAUACUGUUGUGACUAGAGUCCGGUAGGGGAGUGUGGAACUCCUGGUGUAGCGGUGAAAUGCGCAGAUAUCAGGAAGAACACCAGCGGCGAAGGCGGCACUCUGGGCCGGUACUGACGCUGAGGAGCGAAAGCGUGGGUAGCAAACAGGAUUAGAUACCCUGGUAGUCCACGCCGUAAACGUUGGGCACUAGGUGUGGGUCUCAACCAACGAGAUCCGUGCCGCAGCUAACGCAUUAAGUGCCCCGCCUGGGGAGUCGGCCGCAAGGCUAAAACUCAAAGGAAUUGACGGCUGAGACCGNGCGACGACGACGACGAGGAGAGG